RNAcentral lists this ribosomal RNA (253 nucleotides) under uncultured bacterium. RNAcentral's name for it is "partial 16S ribosomal RNA". It matches the Rfam family "Bacterial small subunit ribosomal RNA", at positions 524 to 776 of the family's 1533-position model. The record is from RNAcentral.
UACGGAGGGUGCAAGCGUUAUCCGGAUUUACUGGGUUUAAAGGGUGCGUAGGUGGGCAGGCAAGUCAGUGGUGAAAUCUCCGGGCUUAACCCGGAAACUGCCAUUGAUACUAUUUGUCUUGAAUACUUUGGAGGUAAGCGGAAUAUGUCAUGUAGCGGUGAAAUGCUUAGAUAUGACAUAGAACACCCAUUGCGAAGGCAGCUAACUACGCGAUAAUUGACGCUGAUGCACGAAAGCGUGGGGAUCAAACAGG